This 468-nucleotide ribosomal RNA is filed under the name uncultured bacterium. RNAcentral's name for it is "partial 16S ribosomal RNA". It matches the Rfam family "Bacterial small subunit ribosomal RNA", at positions 28 to 507 of the family's 1533-position model. The record is from RNAcentral.
GACGAACGCUGGCGGCGUGCUUAACACAUGCAAGUCGAACGGAAAGGCCCUGCUAUUGUGGGGUGCUCGAGUGGCGAACGGGUGAGUAACACGUGAGUAACCUGACCUUGACUUUGGGAUAACUUCAGGAAACUGAGGCUAAUACCGGAUCGGCGCUCCUGCUGCGUGGUGGGGGUUGGAAAGUUUCGGCGGUUGGGGAUGGACUCGCGGCUUAUCAGAUUGUUGGUGGGGUAGUGGCUUACCAAGGCCUUGACGGGUAGCCGGCCUGAGAGGGUGACCGGCCACAUGGGGACUGAGAUACGGGCCAGACUACUACGGGAGGCAGCAGUGGGGAAUAUUGCACGAUGGGCGGAAGCCUGAUGCAGCAACGCCGCGUGCGGGAUGGCGGCCUUCUGGUUGUAAACCGCUUUCGCCUGUGACGAAGCGUGAGUGACGGUAAUGGGUAAAGAAGCACCGGCUAACUACGUG